This 612-nucleotide ribosomal RNA is filed under the name Monilea smithi. Its description in RNAcentral is "partial 12S rRNA". It matches the Rfam family "Bacterial small subunit ribosomal RNA", at positions 529 to 1384 of the family's 1533-position model. Lineage: Eukaryota; Metazoa; Mollusca; Gastropoda; Trochida; Trochidae. The record is from RNAcentral.
GACAAACAGGUCAAGUUAAGAUUUAUUUGGUAUAAAAGGAGGUUUGAGAAAAUAUUUUGUGGUAGUGAUAUUAUUUUUGUAGGGGUGGAAUCUGUACAUAAAUAAUUAUUUUUAGCUGCCUUUUACUUGAUGCCUCGAAAUUUACAGGUGAGACCGGGAUUAGAUACCCCGUUAUUGUAAGUAUAAACUUAAAUUAUUAGUACAUUUUACCUGAGUAUUACGAGCUAAAUAAUACAGGCUUAAAACUCAAAAAACUUGGCGGUGCCUUAUUUCCUUCCAGGGGAAUCUGUCCUGUAAACGAUAGUCCACGAUUAAGCUUACUUUUUUUUGUAUUUGUUAUUUGUUGUAAUAUAACAGUUUGUAUACCGUCGUCGUCAGAGUACCUUUAAAAGGUUAGUAGUUGUCGGGUUAAGUGGUUUAUUAUCAACUAUAGAAGAAAAUAAAGAUCUUUGGAUGUCAGAUCAAGGUGCAGCUAAUAAAAAAGUAGAGAUGGAUUACAGUGUUAAUUUAAUAUAUGGAUUUUAAGGUGUAACUCCUUGAAUGAAAGCGGACUUGGGAGUAAUUUAGUUACCUAAACAAGAUAGUUUAUGUGAAAUAGGUACUAAAGUGCGU